Molecule: ribosomal RNA, 585 nt
Filed under: Bacteroidales bacterium
Lineage: Bacteria; Pseudomonadati; Bacteroidota; Bacteroidia; Bacteroidales
Description: bacterial SSU rRNA
Rfam family: Bacterial small subunit ribosomal RNA
Source: RNAcentral
CAUGUGGUUUAAUUCGAUGAUACGCGAGGAACCUUACCCGGGCUCGAACGUAUGAUGAAUAAUAUGGAAACAUGUUAGUCGAUAAGACAUUAUACGAGGUGCUGCAUGGUUGUCGUCAGCUCGUGCCGUGAGGUGUCAGGUUAAGUCCUAUAACGAGCGCAACCCUUACUGUUAGUUACCAUCAGGUUAUGCUGGGGACUCUAGCGGAACUGCCUAUGCAAGUAGUGAGGAAGGUGGGGAUGACGUCAAAUCAGCACGGCCCUUAUGUCCGGGGCGACACACGUGCUACAAUGGUCAAUACAGAGGGCUGCUACACAGCAAUGUGAUGCUAAUCUCAAAAAUUGAUCUCAGUUCGGAUCGGAGUCUGAAACUCGACUCCGUGAAGUUGGAUUCGCUAGUAAUCGCACAUCAGCCAUGGUGCGGUGAAUACGUUCCCGGGCCUUGUACACACCGCCCGUCAAGCCAUGGAAGUUGGGGGUACUUAAAGAGCGUAACCUAAAGGAGCGCUCUAUGGUAAACUUAAUGACUGGGGCUAAGUCGUAACAAGGUAGCCGUACCGGAAGGUGUGGCUGGAAUACCUCCUUU